GUUGUGUCUGGCUAAUUCCCUGGAAAGAAAGAGGCUAACUGCUCCGGGGACUAGGGACUUUGGUGAGACAAGGUGAGAGGGGGAAAAAGGCCCAUAUCUUUACGUUCUCCCUCGGACUUGGCCAGAGAAGAACCACAGUCACCUUGCACUCCAGACAGCCAGAAAGCAGCGAGUCGGAAUGUUGCUUGCCUCCCUCUUAUCCCAGCCGGUUUUUAGCCAUCGCUAAGCCUAGGGCGAGGUUUCGGUCCGGUUUCAGCGUUUCUCCUCUACCUAGCCCCCUGAGGACCCCAGAUUUCUCGCGGUACAGAUCCAGAGAGGGUGGGCGCCCAGCGAUCCGCUCGGCUCGGCCCUGACAGGCGUAAUCUGCCCGGCGUCACCUCCAGCUGCUUCCUCGUUCUCGCUAGUUCCCUCUCGCACGCGAGCGCCAGGAGAAGAGAGAGAUUCGGAGAGGCGGCUGCACGGCUCCGGGGAGACGAGCGGCGGUUUUGCCUCAGUGCUUUUCCCCGGGGUUCCCCCAGAUCUGUGACCCUGCGACGCUUCCUUGAGCGAA
Molecule: long non-coding RNA, 550 nt
Filed under: Homo sapiens (human)
Lineage: Eukaryota; Metazoa; Chordata; Mammalia; Primates; Hominidae
Description: non-protein coding lnc-TLK1-6:5
Source: RNAcentral